UACGGAGGGGGCAAGCGGUGUUCGGAAUUACUGGGCGGAAAGGGCGCGCAGGCGGCUGCUCAAGUCAGGCGUGAAAGGCCUGGGCUCAACCCGGGAAUUGCGCUUGAGACUGGGCUGGCUUGAGUGCGGGAGAGGAUGGUGGAAUUCCCAGUGUAGAGGUGAAAUGCGUAGAUAUUGGGAGGAACACCAGUGGCGAAGGCGGCUCACUGGACCGGAACUGACGCUGAUGCGCGAAAGCGUGGGGAGCAAACGGG
This 254-nucleotide ribosomal RNA is filed under the name uncultured bacterium. RNAcentral describes it as "partial 16S ribosomal RNA". It matches the Rfam family "Bacterial small subunit ribosomal RNA", at positions 524 to 776 of the family's 1533-position model. The record is from RNAcentral.